GACGAACGCUGGCGGCGUGCUUAACACAUGCAAGUCGAACGGACAGGCCCUGCUUUUGUGGGGUGCUCGAGUGGCGAACGGGUGAGUAACACGUGAGUAACCUGCCCUUGACUUUGGGAUAACUUCAGGAAACUGGGGCUAAUACCCGAUAGGAGCUCCUGCUGCAUGGUGGUGGUUGGAAAGUUUCGGCUGUUGGGGAUGUACUCGCGGCUUAUCAGCUUGUUGGUGGGGUAGUGGCUUACCAAGGCUUUGACGGGUAGCCGGCCUGAGAGGGUGACCGGCCACAUUGGGACUGAGAUACGGCCCAGAAGCCUACGGGAGGCAGAAGGGGAGAAUAUUGCACAAUGGGCGGAAGCGUGAUGCAGCAACGCCGCGUGCGGGAUGACGGCCUUCGGGUUGUAAACCGCUUUCGACUGUGACGAAGAGUGAGUGACGGUAAUGGGUAAAGAAGCACCGGCUAACUACGUG
Molecule: ribosomal RNA, 468 nt
Filed under: uncultured bacterium
Lineage: Bacteria
Description: partial 16S ribosomal RNA
Rfam family: Bacterial small subunit ribosomal RNA
Source: RNAcentral